GCUUCGAUAGCUCAGUUGGUAGAGCAAACGACCGAUAAUCGUUAGGUCACUGGUUCGAGUCCAGUUCGGAGUA
Molecule: transfer RNA, 73 nt
Filed under: Klebsiella phage vB_Kpn_IME260
Lineage: Duplodnaviria; Heunggongvirae; Uroviricota; Caudoviricetes; Demerecviridae
Also listed under: 15 other names
Description: tRNA-Ile
Rfam family: tRNA
About the family: Transfer RNA (tRNA) molecules are approximately 80 nucleotides in length. Their secondary structure includes four short double-helical elements and three loops (D, anti-codon, and T loops). Further hydrogen bonds mediate the characteristic L-shaped molecular structure. tRNAs have two regions of fundamental functional importance: the anti-codon, which is responsible for specific mRNA codon recognition, and the 3' end, to which the tRNAs corresponding amino acid is attached (by aminoacyl-tRNA synthetases). tRNAs cope with the degeneracy of the genetic code in two manners: having more than one tRNA (with a specific anti-codon) for a particular amino acid; and 'wobble' base-pairing, i.e. permitting non-standard base-pairing at the 3rd anti-codon position.
Source: RNAcentral